RNAcentral lists this ribosomal RNA (464 nucleotides) under Vreelandella stevensii. Its description in RNAcentral is "partial 16S ribosomal RNA". It matches the Rfam family "Bacterial small subunit ribosomal RNA", at positions 339 to 795 of the family's 1533-position model. The record is from RNAcentral. Lineage: Bacteria; Pseudomonadati; Pseudomonadota; Gammaproteobacteria; Oceanospirillales; Halomonadaceae.
CUACGGGCGGCAGCAGUGGGGAAUAUUGGACAAUGGGCGAAAGCCUGAUCCAGCCAUGCCGCGUGUGUGAAGAAGGCCUUCGGGUUGUAAAGCACUUUCAGUGGGGAAGAAAGCCUUGGGGCUAAUACCCUCGAGGAAGGACAUCACCCACAGAAGAAGCACCGGCUAACUCCGUGCCAGCAGCCGCGGUAAUACGGAGGGUGCGAGCGUUAAUCGGAAUUACUGGGCGUAAAGCGCGCGUAGGCGGUCUGAUAAGCCGGUUGUGAAAGCCCCGGGCUCAACCUGGGAACGGCAUCCGGAACUGUCAGGCUAGAGUGCAGGAGAGGAAGGUAGAAUUCCCGGUGUAGCGGUGAAAUGCGUAGAGAUCGGGAGGAAUACCAGUGGCGAAGGCGGCCUUCUGGACUGACACUGACGCUGAGGUGCGAAAGCGUGGGUAGCAAACAGGAUUAGAUACCCGUGUAGUC